AGUGGGCCUUGAUCUAAGCUAUAACUCGCUUAUUGGCACAAUUCCAGGCACGAUUGGCCAACUGGGUUCGCUUCAAAAACUUGAUUUGAGUUCAAAUGCACUUAAUGGUCGUAUUCCAGAUAGCAUAGAGAAGCUCAGUUCACUGGCUUUCAUGGCUUUGAGUGACAACAGAUUCAGUGGAACUUUUCCAGCUGGAUUGCCAAAAUUACAAAGCUUGCAGUGCUUUAUCAUGGAUGACAAUCCAAUA
RNAcentral lists this unclassified non-coding RNA (247 nucleotides) under Hevea brasiliensis (rubber tree). The record is from RNAcentral. Lineage: Eukaryota; Viridiplantae; Streptophyta; Magnoliopsida; Malpighiales; Euphorbiaceae.